CCUACGGGUGGCAGCAGUGAGGAAUAUUGGUCAAUGGGCGGAAGCCUGAACCAGCCAAGUAGCGUGCAGGAUGACGGCCCUACGGGUUGUAAACUGCUUUUAUACGGGAAUAACGCGCCUUACGUGUACGGCUUUGCAUGUACCGUAUGAAUAAGGACCGGCUAAUUCCGUGCCAGCAGCCGCGGUAAUACGGAAGGUCCGGGCGUUAUCCGGUUUUAUUGGGUUUAAAGGGUGCGUAGGCGGAAGGUUAAGUAAGUGGUAAAAUGUCGGUGCUAAACGCCGCACUGCCGUUGAGACUGGUCGUCUUGAGUGAGCGAGAGGUAUGCGGAAUGCGUGGUGUAGCGGUGAAAUGCAUAGAUAUCACGCAGAACUCCGAUUGCGAAGGCAGCAUACCGGAGCUCAACUGACGCUGAGGCACGAAAGCGUGGGGAUCGAACAGGAUUAGAUACCCGGGUAGUC
RNAcentral lists this ribosomal RNA (459 nucleotides) under uncultured bacterium. Its description in RNAcentral is "partial 16S ribosomal RNA". It matches the Rfam family "Bacterial small subunit ribosomal RNA", at positions 338 to 795 of the family's 1533-position model. The record is from RNAcentral.